RNAcentral lists this long non-coding RNA (614 nucleotides) under Helianthus annuus (common sunflower). RNAcentral describes it as "hypothetical non coding rna". The record is from RNAcentral. Lineage: Eukaryota; Viridiplantae; Streptophyta; Magnoliopsida; Asterales; Asteraceae.
AUAUGAACAUGGUUUAAAGAAACGGACGAGGCGUGCAUCUCGAGGCGAGGCGGUAAGAAAGCAUGUAUGUGGCGGUGCCACAUGGGGUUUACGUACGCCUCUAAUGGCUGAAGCGGUAAGAGAGUUAUUUGAGGCAUGGUGAACUGGAAGGAUUUAUAGUGGAACUAUGGAAGGAUCUAUAGUGAAUAUAUUACAGCAUGGUAAUUUUGUGAGUCAACACAGAGUCCAAUCAACAAUCACAAAAAGGAAUAAUGAUGCACAAACUAUAGAAUAAAAAAUCUCAAAAUGGAACGGAACUUUCAAAAACAGAGGUGCAAACUCAGACCAACCAACAAGUCACACGAAGGAGAACAUUGGCGUGUCUAUGGACUCGAAGCAACUUCUUACACAUUCCGUUGGAUACAAAUCAUGGAGUAAACUCUUAAUAAAAUAUCUCCGUUUACAUUCCAGUGGAAUUCAUUCCUUCAAUAUUUUGUCUACUCCAUCUCUAUGGUAGCCGCUGCCAGAUCAUUGGAUGAAGUUAUUACAUGAUGGAGAACAGAUGGUGCUUCUUGGAUUUGAACAUGGUGUAAUAUUCAACUUUAUAUGACAUUUUCUCGCUGUUUGAUUUUUUU